Molecule: ribosomal RNA, 493 nt
Filed under: uncultured soil bacterium
Lineage: Bacteria
Description: bacterial SSU rRNA
Rfam family: Bacterial small subunit ribosomal RNA
Source: RNAcentral
AGAUUGAACGCUGGCGGCAUGCCUUACACAUGCAAGUCGAACGGUAGAGUAGCAAUACUCGAGAGUGGCGAACGGGUGAGUAAUAUAUCGGAACGUGCCCAGUCGUGGGGGGAUAACGUAGAGAAAUUUACGCUAAUACCGCAUACGAUCUAAGGAUGAAAGCGGGGGAUCGCAAGACCUCGCGCGAUUGGAGCGGCUGAUAUCAGAUUAGGUUGUUGGUGAGGUAAAAGCUCACCAAGCCGACGAUCUGUAGCUGGUUUGAGAGAACGACCAGCCACACUGGGACUGAGACACGGCCCAGACUCCUACGGGAGGCAGCAGUGGGAAUUUUGGACAAUGGGCGAAAGCCUGAUCCAGCAAUGCCGCGUGCAGGAAGAAGGCCUUCGGGUUGAAACUGUACUUUUGUACGGAACGAAAAGGCUACUUUUACAAGUUAAAGACGGACCCAUAGGACGUACGUAAGAAUAGACACCGGACUAACUACGUAGCCGAG